CUUUAAAAAUCCCAUUUGGAUUUGAUUUAUGUAUAAAUUAUUGUGCGAUUUAUGUGUCUCUUUGAAUGUAAUGAUACACACUGUUUUAGGAAUUAUUUGUGUUAAAAAAAGUUAUAGGCCAAAAAGGCUAUAAUUACAUUUGUUAGUGCCAUUUUUUUUUAAAUCUUUGCAUGUUACUUUGGUGUUAAAUUUGAAAGCCCUAAUAAUAACACAUAAGCUGUGAAGAAGCCUGUGUGGUUUUAAUUCAUCUAUUAUUAUUUAAACAGUUGAGACUCGUGAAGAAGAGAUCACUUAUGCAGAGACGACAUUCUACAGAAGAAAAGCACAGAAAUCGAAAGUAGAAGAGGAGAGUCGUGUGGAAUAUGCACCAAUCGCAAUCAGAAGAUGAUCAAACUUAGAACAACAUUUAAGUACAAGACCCUUAUUGUCAAAUCAUUUUCAUUAGGAACCUCCUGCAAAGACCUCAGACUCUGAGUCUAUGGAUGAGCAUUUUCAUCGCAGCUUUUUCAUUUUUGCAAAACAUAGAUGCAAACUAUCCAUCAAAAGGUGACAAAGUGAACUCUGCUGUGGUAUCCAUUAUUUACAACUAAACAGAAAUGUGGUUUGAUCUGUUGGGCACAAAAACAGCUUGUGCAUGAGAAUGUGUCUACUGCUGGAUGUUUGCAUUUGAUGUCAGUUUGUUAAUGCGUGACUAAGGCGUCAAUAGUGUCUGUUUGAGUGUGCAUCUGUGCAAGUAUGAGUCUGAGGUGUCAGUAUUUUGGCUGUGUACAGCGUGUGCCGUGUGAGUGUGAUCAACAGGAUUUUUUUGCAUUUA
Molecule: long non-coding RNA, 814 nt
Organism: Labeo rohita (rohu)
Lineage: Eukaryota; Metazoa; Chordata; Actinopteri; Cypriniformes; Cyprinidae
Exons: 2
Source: RefSeq, a predicted model, not a curated record